AGUGAACGCUGGCGGUAGGCCUAACACAUGCAAGUCGAACGGCAGCACAGUAAGAGCUUGCUCUUACGGGUGGCGAGUGGCGGACGGGUGAGGAAUACAUCGGCAUCUACUUUUUCGUGGGGGAUAACGUAGGGAAACUUACGCUAAUACCGCAUACGACCUACGGGUGAAAGCAGGAGAUCUUCGGACCUUGCGCGAUUGAAUGAGCCGAUGUCGGAUUAGCGAGUUGGCGGGGUAAAGGCCCACCAAGGCGACGAUCCGUAGCUGGUCUGAGAGGAUGAUCAGCGACACUGGAACUGAGACACGGUCCAGACUCCUACGGGAGGCAGCAGUGGGGAAUAUUGGACAAUGGGCGCAAGCCUGAUCCAGCCAUACCGCGUGGGUGAAGAAGGCCUUCGGGUUGUAAAGCCCUUUUGUUGGGAAAGAAAAGCAGCAGGUUAAUACCCCGCUGUUCUGACGGUACCCAAAGAAUAAGCACCGGCUAACUUCGUG
RNAcentral lists this ribosomal RNA (492 nucleotides) under uncultured bacterium. RNAcentral describes it as "partial 16S ribosomal RNA". It matches the Rfam family "Bacterial small subunit ribosomal RNA", at positions 29 to 507 of the family's 1533-position model. The record is from RNAcentral.